This 816-nucleotide long non-coding RNA is filed under the name Cricetulus griseus (Chinese hamster). RNAcentral's name for it is "lncRNA (ENSCGRG00015037380.1)". The record is from RNAcentral. Lineage: Eukaryota; Metazoa; Chordata; Mammalia; Rodentia; Cricetidae.
GGGGAACUGGGAUUGGAAUGUAAAAAAAAUGAAUAAAAAAGAAAAGUUAUCAUUGGUUGCACAUCUUCAACUUGUCAUAGCAAAAAUGACCAAUGGCACCCACAAGUGACAAAUUGGUAGGAAAUGGAUGGGUGCUAUUAUUCUGAAAUCUUUAUAUGUCUUUGCACUUACUGCUAUUUUUGAGGAAAUAAUUAUCUGUGGGUUUUCAUUACACCACCAUUAAGAGCACAUUCAUCAGUGUUUCUCCAAGAGUGAGUCUUGCAUUUGACAAGAGGUAUCUGAGGUGCAUGAAGAAGUGCCACAGCCUGUUCAGGAUUCCUACAAGAGCUUUUUGAGAGGAUUAUUCCUGCCACACAAAGUGCUGGUGCAAUGGUGAGCUCCUGUGAACAGUUCACCUAAGAACUAGUAUCCUUGGCACAUCUUGGACAAAGACAAAAACUGCCACUGGAACAACAGACCCUGGAAGAGCAGUCCCUCCAGACAGGGUUUCUCUGUGUAACAGCUCUGGCUGUUCUGGAGCUCACUUGAAAGACCCCCGAAGAGGUACUUUCGUAGAGGGAGACCCGCACCCAGGAAUCAGCGAGACCACGAACUUGGAUGCAAACUGCAAGAGGCUUUAUUGGAGAUACGGGUACCCGGGCGACUUAGCUUCUGAAAUUCUUCUUGUUGACGCACUCAUCUGUUACAUGUAUCACAUUCAAAAAGGGACUAAGAACUUACAAGCCACCCCUUGCAGUUUCUAGGACUCAAAUAAUAUACAAAUGGUUAUGAAAGCAUGCAUAACACCUGUGCAAGUCCAAGUCAGAACAAAUCCCA